AUCUCCCUCUUUCUCUUUCAUACUCUCUCCCUCCCUCUCUCCCUGUCAGUGUCAUUCUGUAGUGGAGAUGUGGAGUGUCUUUCUGUCUCUCUGUCUGUUUUUCCAGCCUAACUCAGCUGAGGAAGUGAUGCUGCUGGACACAACAGAGUCUACCUCAGAGCUGGGCUGGAUCACCUAUCCAGAUACGGGGUGGGAUGAGGUCAGCGUCCUGGAUGACCGAGGGAAGCUCAUACGAACCUUUGAAGUCUGCAAUGUCAACCAAAAUCCCCGUCAGCAAGACAACUGGUUGGCUACUCCUUUCCUGUACCGCCACUCGGCUCCACGGGUGUUCGUCACGUUGCGUUUUUCUGUGCGAGACUGCGCGAGCCUGCGUUCACCGUCGCCCGCCUGCAGGGAGACACUCACUCUAUACUACAAGCAGGCCGACUCCCAGAGGGAGCUGGAGAGGACUUGGGUAGCUGAGCCAUCGAGCGGGGAGAGGGAGACCAGGGAGGGCUGGGUAAAGAUUGACACCAUCGCAGCCGAUAAGAGUUUUUCCAAGGUGGAGCCCAGCUCACCUCACCAGUAUCAGCCCAACAGAUACAGCCGUAUCAACAUUAAGACACGCAGCUUUGCUCCCCUCACACGCAAAGGAUUUGUCUUGGCCAUCGUCGACAGCGGAGCUUGCGUUUCCCUCAUGGGGGUGUCUAUCUUCUACCGCCGCUGUCCAGCCACGAGCCUCUACCUAGCUUUGUAUCCACCGACUCCCUCGGGUGCCGAGCCAACUGCUUUAGUGCCUGUGACUGGGACGUGUGUCCCUCACAGUAAGGCACAAGGAGACACGCCCCCUCGCAUGCACUGCAAUGCUGAAGGAGAGUGGAUGGUGCCCGUCGGUGGAUGCGUCUGUGAUGAAGGUUAUGAGCCGAACCUCAAUGGAUCUGCCUGUCUGGCCUGUCCUGUGGGCUACUUUAAGUCUAUUUCAGGCUCUAUUCCCUGCACUGUGUGCCCAUCCAACAGCCGAACCAGCCAUGAGGGAUCGAGUGUGUGUGAAUGUCGCAGCGGCUUUUACCGGGCCGCCAGCGAUGCCAACUCUUCUGCCUGCACAACUCCUCCGUCUGCUCCUGUCUCUCUGACCUGGGAGUAUGAGAGCGGCGAUGGUGGGGUUUCCUUGAGGUGGCGCCCUCCGGUGGACAUGGGAGGCCGAAGUGAGGUGUGGUACGGGGUGGUGUGUCGCAUCUGUCCGUCACCGACCUUCACCAACUCGGCUUUGUGCUCUUGGUGUGGGGAGGGCGUCACCUUCAGCCCCUCCCAGACCAACCUGAAACAAACCAAGGUCACCCUCAACAACCUGCUGACCAGGGUCACGUAUCUCAUACAGGUGCAAGCCAUGAAUGAAGUGUCAGCUUUGAGUCCUUUCCCAGUUCGAUACUCAAGCAUCAAUUUCACUACGAGCCAGUCAGUUCCCAGUACCGUUCCUAUGAUGCACCAGCUGAGCCGGGCCCCGGACUCCAUCACUCUGUCGUGGCCUCAGCCAGACAGGCCUAAUGGAGACAUCCUGGAGUAUCAGCUCAGAUACUAUGACAAGGGUUCAGACGUGGACAGCGCAUUGACUGUGUACAGUGAGACUAACACAGUGACCGUCAAGUCUCUGAUUCCCGGCUCCAUCUACGCCUUCCAGAUCAGAGCUCGAAAUGAGCGAGGCUACGGGCCCUACAGCAACACCAUCUACUUCACGACGCUGCCUCUAGAGGAGCAUUCACAGCAAAUCCAGACCCGGCUUCCUCUGCUGGUGGGCUCAGUCAUGGGUGGGGCCGCGUUUCUCCUUGUCGUGGCAGCCAUUGUGGUUGUGGUGGUGUUUCGCAGUAAGAGGAGGGAGAGUCCAUACAGUGACCGACUCCAGAGGUACAUCAGUAACAGAGGUGGAGUUAAGUAUUACGUUGACCCAUCCACUUAUGAGGACCCUAGCGAGGCCGUCAAAGAAUUUGCCCGUGAGAUCGACCCAACUCACCUCAAGAUCGAGGAGGUGAUUGGUGCAGCCCAAUUUGGCGAGGUUUCUCGUGGUCGUUACCAUCCGCUGGGUCGCAGGGAAGUGCUGGUAGCAGUGAAGACUCUGCGCUGGGGGGCAUCAGACAGAGAGAAGGGGAUGUUCCUCAGUGAAGCAGGAGUCCUGGGACAGUUUGACCACCCCAAUGUCCUGAAACUAGAGGGUGUUAUCACCCAUACCCCUCCAGAGAGGAUCAUCACUGAGUUCAUGGAGAACGGGCCCCUGGAUGCCUUCCUCAGGGAGAACGAAGGUCAGUUCAGUGUCCUCCAGCUUGUCGGGAUGCUCAGGGGAGUUGGAGCAGGGAUGCGUUACCUCUCUGAGAGAAACUUUGUUCACCGAGACCUGGCGGCCAGGAACGUGUUGGUCAACUCCAACCUGGUCUGUAAAGUAUCUGAUUUUGGCCUCUCCAGGCUUAUGAGGGGCUUGGACCACAACAUACCAACUUACACUGCCUCACUGGGCAGUAAGAUUCCUGUGAGAUGGACGGCACCUGAAGCAUUUCAGCAUCGCAAGUUCAGCUCAGCUAGUGAUGUCUGGAGCUUUGGAAUACUGAUGUGGGAAGUUAUGUCCUAUGGAGAGCGUCCGUACUGGGACAUGAGCAAUCAAGAGGUGAUGAAGGCAGUAGCAGAUCAGUACCGUCUCCCGGCCCCCCACAACUGCCCCCCUGCCCUCCACUCUCUAAUGCUUCAGUGCUGGCAGGCUGAGCGGGCAGACCGACCAGGUUUCGACUCAGUCCUGUCUUCUCUGGAUCGACUCAUCAGGCACCCCGCGUCCCUCAAAGCUGAGCCAACUCGAAGCUGCUCCCAGCCGCUGCUCAGCCCCACUCCCACAGACUUAUCGUCAGUGGUGACAGUCAGUGAUUGGCUGAAAGCGCUGAGGAUGGAGAGGUAUCAGGAUGAGUUUGAUCGAGCGCACCUGGACACAUUAGACAGCGUCAGCAAGCUUACGAUGGAGUGAGUAUGCAUGGAUAGUUACAAACGUAAAAAUACAGAAAAAUAUAUCAAACAUUUUUAAAGCUGGCUUCUUGACUUAAGAUUUAAUUAGAUCAGUCAUUAAUUUCAUUUUAGCUAUGUCAUGAGUAUUAUCAAGCACACCAGCCACCUGGUAUCCACUGAAUCCUCAAGUCGAGUUGUCGCAUAGUGGUAAAGAGCCCAGUGGGCCGACGCACUUUUAGACUGUGCCAGAAGCACUGGCAGCCUUUUUGUUCAUUUUCAUUACUGUAUUGCCCUAUCAAAUCUCUUUAUGCAACUGGACCCUCCCCAAUCUUUGCUGUGUUCUUACACACCUUAUUGAACAGAGUUUAGUGUGAAAGAAGAGCUGAAAAGGUGGCGCUGAAAGCUAAGAGAGACGAAGAAAGAGAAGCUAGAAAUAGAUACAGGAAAUGUCAAAUUGAGCAACAUGUUAGCUGUCAGGGCAAUUGCUGCUGCGCCGUCAACAGUAGUAAUGUACCAGCAACAAGCAGUAAUGAGCCUUCAUAGACACAGGAGGCAGCUGUAGCACUAGCUGUGGAGACGCUGUGCAGGCGGAGGGACACCAGUCCCAAAAACAGAGUGAGAGACAGACAGAGGGAAAUGAAAUUAGAAUAAUAAGAAAAUAGAAGAAGGGAGAGAGAGAGAGAGACGCGAUAGACCGACUGCAACAAAAGUGCCAAGGCCGAUUUUUUUUUGUGCAUUUCAGUGCACAAAAACAUUUCAGUGCAGCCCUGCAUACUGGUGCUUGGUCAGGACCUGUAGGUGUCUCAUUGCAACUCACUGAGCACUCCUUUAGUGUUAUGAAACAGACACCAUAAGAUAAAGGUGCUCUGAUGGUGCAACUGAUGAGGGACACAUAGCCGAGAGGAUUUUGCAGUUUUUGUAGGUAUCUGAUAACCAAAACAAGUCACCAUAAGAUAAGGAAAGGAGAAACUUCUGCAACCUGCAGAUUUAAUUCUUUAAACAAUCUUAGAAUAGAAUAGGGACAGAAUGGUGGGCCAGUAGUUAGCACGAGGGUCCAAGAAGGUCCAAGAGGAACGAAUGCAUGAAGAACCCAUGCUUGAGCUCCGAUUUCAACCAUCAUCAUAAAACUUUGUAGAUUACACCUGUGUGCUUCGCACAGGUUUUUUGUUGAUCUCAAAAGUUUUUCUUCCAUCCAUCCAUCCAUCCAUCCAUCUUCAUCCGCUUUAUCCGAGGCCGGGUCGCAGGGGCAGCAGCCUAAGCAAAAAGGAUGGAUGGAUGGACUUUGGCAACAGUAGGAUGGGAAAAUCGAUGCUGAAUCAUCCUGAGACGUCCAGGAUCUCGGCGUGAACCUGCUGGGACACCAGAGGAAGAUCGUCAGUGCAGCCCAGCAGCUCAGGGCUCACCUGACACAGGGGCAGGUGGAGGUCUGAAACCUACCAGCAAUAAACCCUGUGCUGUGGAUUUAUGGGCUUCACAUUCCUUUGCUUGUUGCGUCCAGUUUCGGCAACAUUUUAUUUGGAUGGUGCACAUUUUAACCGUAACAAAAAAGAGAGCGAGAUAAUCAGCUAACAGUGCCACUCUGUCUAUUCUGAUAUACCUGACACUGCAACCAGAAGCAGUGAGAAAAGACUUUCUCAGCCAGUCAUUCGAGACGACUAACAGAAGAGAGAUACACUACAGGAGCUGCGGCCCAACUCAAAGUGAGGCUAGAAAGUUGCUGACAAGGAGGACUUUAAAGAUUCCUCUAUGUUUUUCCACUAGAUUUCACUUUAUUGUUGUCUGCCUUCUCGUCUCCUCCCCCCUCUGCAGUCCAAUCUCUCCCUUCCUCCUCCUCUACUCACCUUGCCUGAAAUGCUUCUGUUUCCUCUGUGCUCAAUAAAACCGCAAAAGUAUUUUUUGUUAAAGUAUCCAGGGAGAUCUCUCCUCACAAAGAAUUGCGUGAAGACAAUCAAAGCCUUUUUCUAUUUUUUUUUUGAGUUAUUUGUAAAGUUGUAUCACUUCCUCUCCACUUUAAAUGCCAAAUGCUAAACAAACAGUGUUACCUAGCAGCUAAUGAAUCACCUAAUGAGGUGUUACCGUUAGCUGUCAGAAAAAUGUAUAGGUUGUUCAGUGUUACAGCAAAUACUAUGAACCACCAGUCCAAAGUCGGUACUGCAGAUCCUUAAAGUUAUAUAGCAAUCACUGCCAUAAUAUUGGGAAAAUCAAACCUAAACACGAAAGGCUUUUAAUAAAUGUAAGCCAUGUUUUGUUUUGUUUUUUUUAAUCCGCCUUUAGAAGACAUAUCCAAGGUCUGAGAGCUGCCCUGUUUGUGCAACUCACUGUAGAGCCUCUCAGUGACAGCAGAGCUCACUUACUCUAAAACACUUAACAAACUUCACCUCAGCUGCAAACACGAGCUUCUGCCUGCGCUGGACACAGAAGCUAACAGCACCCACCUUUACAGUAUGUCUGCAUUUCACACUUCACCUCUUUUGUUUGAUUGCUAGAGUAACGACACUGAGUCAUUGGAGCAUUGUGAAUGUGUGAAAUGAGCAAGAUGGACAAAAUCUGAUCUGAUUUACACUUGAAGGAAGGAAGCAAAAUGCUUUGUAGGUAGCUGCCCGUAUGUCUGUGUGCUGUAUAUGAAACUCUGUUAUUGCGUACAUGCUGUACAUGAUGUGUGUGAGUGAGUGUGUCUGUGUGUGCAUGUGUGUGUGUGCGCGCGCGUGUGAGACAAGUGUGUCAGGCUACACACAUUUAUAGGUGUUUACUUGUAUGAAUGUUCACCACUGUUCCGUAAUUGUGCAAAUUUGUAAAAUAAAUAUGAUUUUAUUUAAA
This is an RNA transcript of Haplochromis burtoni (Burton's mouthbrooder), 5775 nucleotides long. It is a transcript of the gene named eph receptor B6, with no coding region annotated. The record is from RefSeq and is a predicted model, not a curated record. The transcript has 19 exons. NCBI's taxonomy places the organism in Eukaryota, Metazoa, Chordata, Actinopteri, Cichliformes, Cichlidae.